AUUUGAUCUGAAAUCAGGCGGGAUUACCCGCUGAACU
This 37-nucleotide ribosomal RNA is filed under the name Mucor circinelloides. RNAcentral describes it as "partial 28S ribosomal RNA". Lineage: Eukaryota; Fungi; Mucoromycota; Mucoromycetes; Mucorales; Mucoraceae. RNAcentral also lists the same sequence under 1 other name. The record is from RNAcentral.